GAUGAACGCUGGCGGCGUGCCUAAUACAUGCAAGUCGAGCGAACAGACGAGGAGCUUGCUCCUCUGACGUUAGCGGCGGACGGGUGAGUAACACGUGGAUACCCUACCUAUAAGACUGCGAUAACUUCGGGAAACCGGAGCUAAUACCGGAUAAUAUAUUGAACCGCAUGGUUCAAUAGUGAAAGACGGUUUUGCUGUCACUUUUAGAUGGAUCCGCGCCUCAUUUGCUAGUUGGUAAGGUAACGGCUUACCAAGGCAACGAUUCGUAGCCGACCUGAGAGGGGGAUCGGGCAGACUGGAACUGAGACACGGACCAGAAUACUACGGGAGGCAGCAGUAGGGAAUCGUGCGCAAUGGGCGAAAGAAUGACGGAGCAACGCCGCGUGAGUGAUGAAGGUCUUCGGAUCGUAAAACUCUGUUAUUAGGGAAGAACAAAUGUGUAAGUAACUAUGCACGUCUUGACGGUACCUAAUCAGAAAGCCACGGCUAACUACGUG
RNAcentral lists this ribosomal RNA (497 nucleotides) under uncultured bacterium. RNAcentral describes it as "partial 16S ribosomal RNA". It matches the Rfam family "Bacterial small subunit ribosomal RNA", at positions 28 to 507 of the family's 1533-position model. The record is from RNAcentral.